This 657-nucleotide ribosomal RNA is filed under the name uncultured archaeon. Its description in RNAcentral is "bacterial SSU rRNA". It matches the Rfam family "Archaeal small subunit ribosomal RNA", at positions 1 to 665 of the family's 1478-position model. The record is from RNAcentral.
UUCCGGUUGAUCCUGCCGGACCUGACUGCUAUCGGAUUGAUACUAAGCCAUGCGAGUCAUUGUAGCAAUACAAGGCAGACGGCUCAGUAACGCGUAGUCAACCUACCCUAUGGACGGGAAUAACCUCGGGAAACUGAGUAUAAUGCCCGAUAGAACACUAUACCUGGAAUGGUUUGUGUUCCAAAUGAUUUAUCGCCGUAGGAUGGGACUGCGGCCUAUCAGUUUGUUGGUGAGGUAAUGGCCCACCAAGACUAUUACAGGUACGGGCUCUGAGAGGAGUGGCCCGGAGAUGGGUACUGAGACACGGACCCAGGCCCUAUGGGGCGCAGCAGGCGAGAAAACUUUGCAAUGUGCGAAAGCACGACAAGGUUAAUCCGAGUGGUUUCUGCUAAAGGAACCUUUUGACAGUCCUAGAAACACUGUUGAAUAAGGGGUGGGCAAGUUCUGGUGUCAGCCGCCGCGGUAAAACCAGCACCUCAAGUGGUCAGGAUGAUUAUUGGGCCUAAAGCAUCCGUAGCCGGCUCUGUAAGUUUUCGGUUAAAUCUGUACGCUUAACGUACAGGCUGCUGGGAAUACUGCAGAGCUAGGGAGUGGGAGAGAUAGACGGUACUCGGGAGGAAGUGGUAAAAUGCUUUGAUCUCUCGAUGACCACCUGUG